RNAcentral lists this ribosomal RNA (468 nucleotides) under uncultured bacterium. RNAcentral describes it as "partial 16S ribosomal RNA". It matches the Rfam family "Bacterial small subunit ribosomal RNA", at positions 28 to 507 of the family's 1533-position model. The record is from RNAcentral.
GACGAACGCUGGCGGCGUGCUUAACACAUGCAAGUCGAACGGAAAGGCCCUGCUUUUGUGGGGUGCUCGAGUGGCGAACGGGUGAGUAACACGUGAGUAACCUGCCCUUGACUUUGGGAUAACUUCAGGAAACUGGGGCUAAUACCGGAUAGGAGCUCCGGCUGCAUGGUGGGGGUUGGAAAGUUUCGGCGGUUGGGGAUGGACUCGCGGCUUAUCAGCUUGUUGGUGGGGUAGUGGCUUACCAAGGCUUUGACGGGUAGCCGGCCUGAGAGGGUGACCGGCCACAUUGGGACUGAGAUACGGCCCAGACUCAUACGGGAGGCAGCAGUGGGGAAUAUUGCACAAUGGGCGGAAGCCUGAUGCAGCAACGCCGCGUGCGGGAUGACGGCCUUCGGGUUGUAAACCGCUUUCGCCUGUGACGAAGCGUGAGUGACGGUAAUGGGUAAAGAAGCACCGGCUAACUACGUG